GUGACGGUGAGCAACCGCCAGCGGAAGCUCUUCACCAACAUCGAGAGCAGCCACUGGGACUUCGGCUUCAAGCGGUCGCCGUGGAGCCACGUCCCCUUCGAGCACCCGUCGACCUUCGACACCCUCGCCAUGCCCCCGGCUAAGAAGAGCGACAUCAUCGACGACCUCAUCGCCUUCUGCAACGGAAAGGACUACUACGCCAAGAUCGGCAAGGCGUGGAAGCGCGGGUACCUGCUGUACGGGCCCCCCGGGACCGGCAAGUCGACGAUGAUCGCCGCCAUGGCCAACUUCCUCGACUACGACAUCUACGACCUCGAGCUGACCGCCGUGAAGUCCAACACCGAGCUGCGCAAGCUCUUCAUCGAGACGACCGGCAAGUCGAUCAUCGUCAUCGAGGACAUCGACUGCUCGCUCGACCUGACCGGCGACCGGAAGGUGAAGAAGAAGAAAAGCGCGGACGACAAAGAAACUGAAGACAAGAAAAACGCGCAGCCGCCGCUGCCGCCGGGGAUGGAAGAUAGGGAGAAGAACAAGGUGACGCUGUCGGGGCUGCUGAACUUCAUCGACGGGCUGUGGUCGGCGUGCGGCGGGGAGAGGAUCAUCGUGUUCACGACCAACCACGUGGAGAAGCUCGACCCGGCGCUGAUACGGCGGGGGAGGAUGGACAAGCACAUCGAGAUGCCGUACUGCUGCUUCGAGGCGUUCAAGGUGCUGGCGAAGAACUACGCCGACGUGGAGGAGCACGAUAUUUUUGGGCAGAUUAAAGAAUUGCUGGAGGAGGUGAAGAUCACGCCGGCGGACGUCGCGGAGAGCCUGAUGCAGAAGUCUGAGGACAAGGGCGUGGUUGAGCGGCUGGAGAACCUAGUGCGGGUGUUGAAGUCAGCGAAGGAGGAAACGGAGAAGGGAGUGGCAAAUGGUAGCUGUAGUGGGGAGGAAGAGGGGGAGAUAGUGGAGGAUAAUUGACUGGUACCUGGGAUUUUGCAAUUUUGUGUUCUAGACUUAGAUGAUUUCAGUGACCGUAUGAAAUAUUAAAUAACUUUAAAAAAAACAAAAAACAAAAAUUUAGCGAAACAGUUGGGAUUCAUUUGUGGGAGAAUAGUCAUGGACAGUCCUGGUAAUAUUAUUAAUAAAAUUAUCUCCAGUCUAAUCAUAUUUCUCCUUGGUGUUUGAGUUUGGACUGAAUUUUGAUUGUGGAUUUUGAUAUGAGAUUAAUGUGAAACUAAAUUUCAAACUAAAUGAUAAUAAGUUACGUCUCGCGUCCAGAAUUGCUGCGGACGCUUUCGAACGCGUUAAUAGAUCCGCUGAAAUGAACGAAGAUCACGCCAUACAACAAAAACCUAUUAACCUUUCUAUAAGUCCACAACCAAAAAAAAGCAUUUCUUAAUAGUCGACAACUAAAUAAACAUCAGAGUACAUAAAAUAUAUAUGGCAAUAAGUAUAUCCUUCAUAUCACUAUAUCAAUAUCAAUUGCACAUAUAUAUUAUCUCCCGCAGCGAACAUACGAAUACAAGUACAUGCCUCACAUUCCUCACUAGCGUAUAAAAUACCAUGAUGCUAUACAUAAAACUAUCUACAGGAGUCCGUACUUCUAGCAGUGGCAAUUAAGGUAGAAGAUAUUUAUCUAACUUGCUAUCUCUUUAACUAGAUUUGCCGUUAAUGUUGCAGGCUCGGAAAAAGAAUUAAUAAAGGAGGACGUAUGAACUAUAAUUAGGAUAGCUCUUAAUGGGUAUAGUCGACGACACGAUCAACAUCACUAGAUCUAUUAGAGAAAAAAAUAGUAAAUAGUAAGCGAGUAACAAAGAAUAAUAUGAACUGAAAAUAAAAAUAAUUAUUAUGCCUCUCUCUAUAUCUGUAGAAAUAAACAAACAGUGAUUAUACCUACUAUAAUAUCUCGAAAAGUAAUAAACAACCUCACAUGUAUCAACUAAAGUAUCUAAUAAGUCAUAAGACCCGAUCGCACUUGUCGGCUCAUAGGUCCGGCCAAGUUUGCGCCGCCGCGUGCCUGGUAACCAAUCUUGACUUGGUGGGCCGGCUCGCAUGUGUAUGCCUAGCACAUCUAGUCAGCCACGACAGCUCCAAAGGGGUAUUCGUGGAAUGCGAUCCUUAUUGAGUAUCAUAAUAUAUCCUGACACCUUCUUCUGAUUGGCAGUGGAGAGUCGAGGUAGUGAAUUGAAAAGGUUACUAGGGUUUCGUUGAUAUCAGGAGCUUUGCUUCAUGCCAUGUAAAAUUUGAGAAUAGGAUAUAUUCUUUAGUGGUCAAAGUACAGGAUAUAUAUAGCCAUAUUUGCUAAUAUGUACAAGAAGCAAAAUUAGUAAAAUUCCCUAUAAUCUCUCAACAUAAUAUAUCACACAAGCACCCAACUAAUUCCAUAUUUAUAGUUUGGUCCCAAUCUUUGCAACUCAUCUAAUUCCAUAUCUAACAGUGAUUGUAGCACCGACCGUCCCUAGAGCAAGUGGCAAAGGGCUUGGUGGUUGGUACCCGAGACCCAAGAUCGAAUCCUAGUUGAUUCACAUUUCUAGCUAAGUUUAUUUCUAAAUGAAAUAAACGAAACGGGUAGCGUGCUACCUAUCUCUCUAAAAAAAAACAGUGAUUGUAGCCUAAGAUUUUUCAUUCGGACCCAUUGUAAGGUCCACAAAAUGGUAAUCUUAAAGUAGUUUUUACCUUUGUUAGUUAAUUCGUGAAUUAUUCGCGAUUUAUUAAAAAUCAGAAUUAAACGGUUCGUUUACGAUACGGAUUUUUUUUUUAUAAAGAAAGAAAAAAUUAAUUCCGAAAUUUAUGGUCAGCGCGAAUAAUCAGGAAUUAUCACGAAUUAUUAAAAAUAUAAUAAAAAAAUUUAUAAUUUUUAUUUUCUAAAUAUAAAAUUAUUUAUAUUUUAUAUCUUAUACUUUUAUAUUUUAUAAUAAAUACUGUUUUUAAGGUCGAAUUUCUCAACGAAUUUAAAAUAGAAAAACCGAAUUUUAUCCGCGCAUAUAUCCAUACUCGAAUUUUCCAGAAUCCAAAUAAACUAAUCUAAUGGUUUCUACUAUCCAUAAAGGAUUGAAUAAAUGCUAUUCGACCUAUGGUCCAUCUUGCAGGUACGAUUUCUUUGAAUAAUAUAAAAGAAAUAUGUAGCAAUAAUAUUUUCACCGCAAAGAACUGUUAUUAAUUUUGAUUUUUGGUAACAAUUUUUUUGAUUUAUAUUAUUAGUAGAAUUGUAACAUUUUUCCAAGUUUUGAUGACAAUUAAUAAUUCGAACUUAAAAACCUUCUCUUCUUCUAACUCAUCUAAGUAUUCUUUUUCUGCUAAACUUAACAGUAAAAUAAUAAUUAUUUUUAAUAUUUAGCUUUUCAAUAUCUUGCUUGGAUAUUGGAGUGAAAAUGAAUUAUAACGGCAAACUAGAAUGAUGAUUUUUCACGAUUACAGAACAGCAAUCACAUUCCGAACACAAGCGGCAUACAAAGCAUCUAAUUAACCUCUCAAUCGAGCUACGUUCUUAUAAUCCAAACUGAAAUGAUAAUAAUUCAUCUUUAAUUACUUUUAUAUUUUAAAAUAAGAACCACAAAAUGUCAUUCUUACUAUCUUAUUAUGUAUUAUUAUAUUAAUUAUAAUAUACUUUAUUAAUUCUGAUUUCAAUUCCUAUUCAGCGUGAUGAAAAGACCGCAAAAAGUGACAAUUGAAAUCAAAAAACUCCACCACCGUCCCUAGUGCAAGUGGCAAAGAGUUUGAUGGUUGGUAUCCGAGGUUCUAAUUCGAAUCUCUUAUUCUUCACUUUUCAGUCUAAGUUAUAUUCUAAAUGAAAUAAAAAAACGGACGGAUAGCAUCUAUUACUCUCUUAAAAAAAAAAAAAAAAAAAAAACCGGUCAAAGAGUGAAAAAUCAAAACAAACCCGGCCUUUUCUUUCAAACCUGCUCCUGACAUGGAUGUUAAUCUCGCUCCAGAUCAAUGUCAAGCUGUGGUCCCACUCUCCCAACCUUUAAUGCGUUGAUGCAUUUCUUUUUCCACAUCACUUGACAUGUAUUAGGUAGCUAGGGAACAAAAAUGGACCCUUCAACUUUAUUUAUUAAUUUUAAUAUAUCUUUAAUUAUACUUUCUUUGCCGAGUUAUUUUGAUUAGUUAAGCUAAAAAUUUUGUCAAAUAUUAACGUUCAUUCAGCCAUUACUUAUUAAAAUAUUUUUGUGUAAUCACUAAAUGAGAAAUAAAUUUAUUAAAUUAUUAGUAUAGUAAUCAAUAAUUAACUGUAAUAGCGCUCUCAAAUUUUUUAGAUUAAAAGCAUACAUUCUUAGCACGCUUGUAAACUAGGGUUGAUAAAAUUUUAAAAUAGUUUUAGUACAAAUAAAAAAAAAGUAAUAGAGAAAAGGAUGUAAAGUUUAUAUCAUAAUCUAGAGGUACUGUAAGAUAAUUGCUCAUUUUUUACUGAAAUAUUUUAAGAUGUGAAUUAAAUGGUAUCCGCCUGUCACAUUAGAAACUUUCAUGAUUUUUUUUUCUUUACAAUUGAGCAGGAGUAAGCAUUAAUCAGUUCAGUUUGAUUUUUAUAUUUUUUUAAAAUCCAAAUCUCAUCAAGUAAGAACUGAACCGACUGAAUUGUAGAUCUUUGGCGGCUCGUUUAUUGAUUUUAGUAAAAAUUUUUAUUUGAUUUUAAUAUUAUAAACUACUAAAAAUAAUAUAUAUAUCAUGAUUAAUUUAUAUUAAACCUAUUACUAAAUAAUAAUAAUAAAAUAACAUACUAAUUACUUACAUUAAUUAUUAAAACUAAUAUACUAUUUUUAUAAAUUAAGCUAAUAGUAUAUAAAUUUACAAAAGUUAAUUUAUUUUAUUGGUUUUUUCAAGCUGGGAAUUCAGUUCGCAAGGACUAAUGCUCACCUCUUUAGUUGAGGUUCUAUUUUCAUCUAUAUAAAUGCACAAGCGCGGAAUUAGGACGGCAAUUGAGACUUAGAGAGAGAGAGAGAGAAGGAUGGAGAAAUGGGCUUGGUUGGGUUCCGGCGUGGCGACUGCAUGCUUCUGGUGGGAAAUGCUCAAGAUGUACUUCCCUCAUCAGCUCCGGUUCUAUGUGGGCUGGGCAGCCGCAACUUCUGUCAUUCUUGAUCCGUAUCUUUACUUCACCAUCCCGGAGUUUGCGGGGAGCGCAAUGAAGCGUACGAGGCCUACGGUGCGUCAAGGCCUACCUCUCCGCCUCAUGCUCGCAGCGUCGCCCAGUUUCAGGGUUGAGAUCGCAGGACAGCGACCGCCCCCUCCUCAGCAUGGGCGCGCCACGAGGAGCUCACCGACGACUUUCAAGGCGCCAGGCGUCUGGUGGUCCUCCCGCUCCACCCGUCGAACGCAGCCCCUCAUCCUGGUAAUCAGUUACAUAUAAAAAAAACAACUUUCUCUCUAACAGCUAGCUUUAGAUUUUUUUUUUUUUUUUUUUUUUGCAUGGUAUUAAAUCUUUAUUGUAAUUCUUUCUAUUAUUUCGAAUCUACUUACAACUUUUGAUAUUGAGAUUGUAGGAUUUGCAUCAAGUAUAAAGUAGAUUUUCCAGCUUAGGAAACUACUUCUGUGUUUGUAUGAAAUAAAUUAAUCUAAUAGAAAAUGAUUCAGAUAUAACCUUAACUGUUUCAGGUAUCAGACCCCACAAGUGAACGGCGGCGUACUACACCUGAGCUUCCAUAACGGCCACCGCGAGCUGGUGAUCAACUCCUACCUCUCGCACGUCCUCCGGAGGGCGCGCCCGUGACGGUGACGAACCGCCAGCGGAAGUCUUCACAAACAUCAAAAGCAGCCACUGAACCAGUCCCUUCGAGCACCCGUCGACCUUCGACACCCCGCGCAUGCCCUGGCUAAGAAGGCGCGAGAUCAUCGGCGACCUCAUCGCCUUCCGCAACGGAAAGGACUACUACGCCAAGAUCGG
Molecule: long non-coding RNA, 5863 nt
Filed under: Ananas comosus (pineapple)
Lineage: Eukaryota; Viridiplantae; Streptophyta; Magnoliopsida; Poales; Bromeliaceae
Description: long non-coding RNA (ACOM_LNC014707)
Source: RNAcentral